GCCUGAGUGGCUCAGUCGGUUGAGCGUCUGACUUUGGCUCAGGUCAUGAUCUCACGGUCUGUGAGUUCGAGCCCCGCAUCAGGCU
Molecule: transfer RNA, 85 nt
Filed under: Felis catus (domestic cat)
Lineage: Eukaryota; Metazoa; Chordata; Mammalia; Carnivora; Felidae
Rfam family: tRNA
About the family: Transfer RNA (tRNA) molecules are approximately 80 nucleotides in length. Their secondary structure includes four short double-helical elements and three loops (D, anti-codon, and T loops).
Source: Rfam by way of RNAcentral